Molecule: small nuclear RNA, 324 nt
Filed under: Jaculus jaculus (lesser Egyptian jerboa)
Lineage: Eukaryota; Metazoa; Chordata; Mammalia; Rodentia; Dipodidae
Description: 7SK RNA (ENSJJAG00000002509.1)
Rfam family: 7SK RNA
About the family: 7SK was discovered as an abundant small nuclear RNA in the mid-70s but a possible function has only recently been suggested. Two independent studies have found that 7SK RNA binds the CDK9/cyclin T complex (known as elongation factor P-TEFb).
Source: Rfam by way of RNAcentral
GGGUCUGCAUCGAUCUGGCUAUGACAUCUGUCACCCCAUUGAUCUCCAGGAUUGAUUCGGCUGAUCUGGAUGGCUAGGCAGGUGUCCCCUUCCUCCCUCACGGCUCCAUAUUCUUCCCUCCGGAAUCUCCCGAAGCUGCUUGCUUCGUGGAAGAGGACGACCUUCCCCCAAUAGAGGAGGACCAGUCUUUGGUCAAGGAUAUGUGAGUCACUACAUUCCUCUUCUAGAACCUCCAAACAAGCUCUCGAAGUCGCUGGUUCUUUUAGGCAGGGUAUCACAGCAGAAUCCUAGUGAUAGAGUUUCCACUGGAUAUUCCUUUUUUUU